Non-coding RNA from Anas platyrhynchos (mallard), 1055 nucleotides. Lineage: Eukaryota; Metazoa; Chordata; Aves; Anseriformes; Anatidae. The record is from RefSeq and is a predicted model, not a curated record.
CAGCAUUUGCCACAGCUGAAAAGGGGCUUGGUGUUUUGCAUCAGUUUGUAACAAGCCUGUUGCUUUUGAGGGCAUUCAUCAGUAGAGAAAAAUUUAUAUAUGUAGUCCUGCUGCUGCACACCCAGGACUCCAGUGAGACAUGUGAGCCUUGCACAGGAGAGAAGGGCUGUCCUCUCCCACCAGCAUUGCUCCUGAUGAAGGGCUGCCUUUUCUCAGCUAAUUCCUCUGGCCACCCAAGGAAAGCAUUCUGCAUGGCUUCUUAAAGACAAAGUCAGAGGUGUUUCGGGGACAGCAUGACUUCAUGAUAGAAGAUGGCACGGUCACAGAAUGUACCAGCCCUUCAGCUCUGGAACGGCAAUUCACAUCUGAACAGAGGUGAUUAGCCAAAAUUAGUGCACUUAUUCCCUCUUUAUCUUCAGUGGACAUGAAACCAGACCACAAAACAACUGUAGACUGUCUUGCAACUGGCAGGCUCUGGUCAUGAGAAAGCCAGAGCUUGAGAGAACAGAAGGUUGGGGCUGAUGAGGAAAGGCAGAGCUAUUGCACACCAAAAAUCUCACUCAGCCUUGACCAAGGUUAAGACUGCAUUUUAUUGCCUUGCUUUCAUAACUAUAGAUGUUUUCAGAUCUAUUGAAUUUAAUAAAGAUUCCUCUGUGGUGAUGGGCAACCAGGGGUCGGUAUCACAAGGCGUGGAAAGGAGCAGUAUAAAUACUCUUGGGAGUAAUGGAAACCACCUCCUAUUGAUCCGCUGCUGGGAUGUGUCAUAUUCGGACAGAUAAAUAUCUCUGCAGAAUUGACUGUGCAGAUUGUAAUGUUGUACCUAUUUCCAUCAGUGUAUAUGUAUUCCUCUCUCCUUCAAUUUUCUUUUUCACCUAUUUGCUAUGAAUGUUGCCUCAUGUUAUUUUAGUUGUCUCACUGUGUACUGCUUAGACUUCCAGAACCAAAUUUGAAAGCUAAUUAGCUAUGGAAGGAUGAAGGUCAAAAUCCUGUAUGGAAGCCAGAUCCUUCAUUAAUGAUGACACAAAACGAUAGAAUAAAUGGACUCAAGAAACUUA